RNAcentral lists this ribosomal RNA (433 nucleotides) under uncultured bacterium. RNAcentral describes it as "partial 16S ribosomal RNA". It matches the Rfam family "Bacterial small subunit ribosomal RNA", at positions 29 to 507 of the family's 1533-position model. The record is from RNAcentral.
AACGAACGCUGGCGGCAUGCCUAACACAUGCCAGUCGAACGAGACCUUCGGGUCUAGUGGCGCUCGGGUGCGUAACGCGUGGGAACCUGCCCUUAGGUUCGGAAUAACUCCCCGAAAGGGGUGCUAAUACCGGAUAAUGUCUUCGGACCAAAGAUUUAUCGCCUUUGGAUGGGCCCGCGUUGGAUUAGCUAGUUGGUAGGGUAAAAGCCUACCAAGGCGACGAUCCAUAGCUGGUCUGAGAGGAUGAUCAGCCACACUGGGACUGAGACACGGCCCAGACUCCUACGGGAGGCAGCAGUGGGGAAUAUUGGACAAUGGGCGAAAGCCUGAUCCAGCAAUGCCGCGUGAGUGAUGAAGGCCUUAGGGUUGUAAAGCUCUUUUACCCGGGAUGAUAAUGACAGUACCGGGAGAAUAAGCUCCGGCUAACUCCGUG